AUCGAAUGUAGCCAGAAAUUGUCAGCGAGUUUUUCUCGUCAAAUUAAUCUAUAUUUUUAUUUGCAGCGUAUUUAAUCUGUAAUUUGAACUUGUGGAAUGUUCUGUUGCGAAAUAUAAUUUUCGACAAGUGGAAGUUCCAGAAUUUCAACUAUUUUUCAACCAAUUAACAUGCUUAGAAUAUAUCACGUGUUGUAGUAAUUCGAUCUGUUGAUAACAAGCGCUAAGUUCGAUCUUUUGAGAGCAAAUAUUCAAAGAGGAAAGGAUUUUUAUUCAAAUUUUCUACUUAUAAAGUUCCAAAGACCUAAUAAAAUACAUGGAAUUUGUUUUCAAAGGUAUGUCUAUUGUGUAUUUACUCAUUUGUAUGCGGAUAGUUACUUGAUAUACUGUAUAGUUAUGUUUUUAAAUCGAAGGCUUGUAUUUGUAUUACCUGUAAUACUUUUUUACCGAAGGCAUCUAAACGUUCAGUUGUAAAUUUUCGAUUAAUUUCUAUUAGCAGAAGUGUAUAAAUCUAAUCUACACUCUACCUAUCUGUGUUUUAAGAAAAUCGUAUAGCUUAGUUGUGUGAUAUACGUGUAUGCUAUAUUUCCUGUGAAAUAUUUGCCAUUUAUAGUUGGCAUGCAUUGUAUACUUACAAAUCACAUAAAUGCAAUGUGGUUUGUUUGAAGUCAAUCAAAAUUACGCGACCAAGGACGAAAAUGCUAGAGUUGACAUGUCAGUUUUAUGUCGUUCGGUCACGAAGUUUAAACUUCGAGUUUUGCGGUUCCCUUGUCGAUGUAUAUGCUUUGUAUGCUUUAUAUCAACAGCCAGUACAAUGAUUUUCAAGAUAUUUUACAAACAAAAUCAUAACAUCACCGUUAUAGUCUAGCGCGCGUGUUUUAUACUGACAGCUAAAAUUCCAGCAUAAAUUGUUAUUUUUCAAACUUUAAAAGUUAUUUACGGCACAUAUUUCUGUUGUGAUGGUUUGUAUUGUGCUUUAGCUUGUAUACGUAAGUUAUCUCACUCAUUUUUGUUCAGUUUUGGUAUUACUGUCGUUCCAAUUGAAGUGUUCCUCAAAUAUUGAUUCAAUACAUUACCUCGGGCUGACCAAUUCAUUUGAUCAAGUUCCUCAAAAUAUUCAUACACUUCCUAGUAUAAUUGUAAACUUCCUGUUGAAUAGUUUGAAUGCACCAAUCACCUUUGUUGUUUGUGCAACUAACCAAUCAUAAAUAGAAAGGAAGUGACCAGAAAUGAUCAAAUACUUGGAAUUGGCUCUUUCACAGGAAGUGUAUGAAUAUCUCGAGGAACUUGACGAAAUGAAUUGGUCAGCCUCAUAGAUAUCUUAUAUAAACUAGAUAGCACAUCUCUUUUAGUAAAAUUGAAACCAAGAAUAUCCCAGCGGUUACCCCCAUUUGAAUAGAUGGCGGCCAUGUUGGAGCUUCCCACUCGCUAAUAAACGCUUAAAAAAUAACAAUAACUUUCAUCAUUUAAAUAGUUUGAAAAUGUAUUUAUAAUAGGAUUAACUUCAUGUUUAAGUUCCCUGUUUAAGAAAUAGGAUACAUACGAAUCUUCUCAUUUCAUGGGAAGAUCCUGAGCCUGCAAUCACGGCUUCAAUUUUUGAAUUGCAGAAUAAUUAGAUGCGCUAUCUAGUGUAUAUAAGAUAUCUAUGGUCAGCCUGAGGUAAUGUAUUGAAUCAAUAUUUGAGGAACACUUCAAUUGGAACGACAGUAAAUACGGUUUAAAAUGCCUUUUGACAGUUUGUUUACGUUUGCUAUUUUUAGCAGUUUUUGUGACAUAGAACUGACAUUUGAAGUAAGAGUAUUUUUCAGGGAGGUCGCGUAAUUUUGAAAACGGGUGUAAUAGCAUAUAGAUAGCAUUGUAAUAGCCCAUCUCCCAAUAUUACCCAAUGUAUGGCAUGUGCUUGCUAUGGUAUUAAACCCUCCUAUCGGUCAUCCUAAAACAUGUGUGAAGAGCUGCUUAUAUGGUCAAGAAAGCCAGCCCAGGUAGCCCGGCUAUAGCUUGCUUUCCCUGGAUGAAUGUCUGUUUACAUGAGCCUCUUUAGAUGGACAGGCUCGCCAAAUCGAAUCAACCAGUCUGAGUUUUAUAAUAGAAGCACAUUUUCCAAUACGGUAACCAACAUCACACUUUUGCAGACAGUUUCGAAAUGUAACUGAUAAAAACAAUUACCGAGAUAUUUUAACCCUUUAAGUGGCAAUGCGCCCUACUUUAUUAUUUUACUUUGUCUAAACAUCGGACAAUUUUACUUGUCAGGAGGAGAAUCUGUCCCUCAAUGGGUUAAUCAGACUAUCUGCCCUUAAAUUAAAGAUGCCCAGAUUUUUGCGGCACUUAGGCAACUUGCCCAAUCGGGCAAGCAAGAUAAAACGUUUACUUGCCCGUCAUGAAUUUCACUUGUCUCGGGCAAUUAGUGGCCAAGUGUUAAGUUACACCUCUGCUUGCUUUGUACACUAGAAAACAACCAAAAAUAGCAAAUUUAUUGUCACUCAAUAAUUUGCUUCUGUUAUAUAUCAAUCUUAUAUAUUUUUUCUUAAUAGUGGUUGUAUUUAAUAUGGAUUCAUUAUAUCCUGUGAUGCUGAAUGAAAAGUUAUCGAAGCAUCCCAGGAGAAGGCAAGUGAUCAUCUAAACAAGUGGCAAUAUAUAUAUAAUCAUUAAUGGCAUUCUAAGUACUUCAUGGUCUAUUUGGAAAAUGUUAUUCUUUUGCUGGAGAGCAUGUUUACGGAUUACCAAACCAUGCAAGGAAAGGACUAGGAGUUGCCGACUGGUGGUAUAGUACAGCUUGUUUUGUACUAAAAUUUAACUAAUGGACUUGCACGACAUUAGACAUAAUAUGUAUGCUUGAUUGAGCACUGACACUACAUGCAGUGUAUUUUACUUGUAAUUCAAGAUUGAACAGAAUGUUUAACCCUUUAAGUGGCAAUGUGCUCUACUUUAUUAUUUUAUUAUUUUGUGUCCAAUGCAAGGUAUGCUGCCACUCAAUGGGUUAAAGUCUUUCUGUAGAUGGAAAUAUUGAACAAUAACUAUGUAAUAGCUAUUGUGCCGGCAAUGAAACCCCUGUGAUUCGGAUCAGCUCCUUAAUUGCAAAGAGUCGGUCAAGCCCCAAGAGUCAAUGAAGGUCACCAGGAGUUUAUGUAUAUAAUAC
Non-coding RNA from Paramuricea clavata, 3133 nucleotides. Lineage: Eukaryota; Metazoa; Cnidaria; Anthozoa; Malacalcyonacea; Plexauridae. The record is from the annotation of a GenBank genome assembly.